UUCCGGUUGAUCCUGCCGGACCUGACUGCUAUCGGAUUGAUACUAAGCCAUGCGAGUCAUUGUAGCAAUACAAGGCAUACGGCUCAGUAACGCGUAGUCAAUCUAACCUAUGGACGGGGAUAACCUCGGGAAACUGAGAAUAAUACCCGAUAGAACAUUAUGCCUGGAAUGGUUUAUGUUUCAAAUAAUUUAUUGCCGUAGGAUGGGACUGCGGCCUAUCAGUUUGUUGGUGAGGUAAUGGCCCACCAAGACUAUUACAGGUACGGGCUCUGAGAGGAGUAGCCCGGAGAUGGGUACUGAGACACGGACCCAGGCCCUAUGGGGCGCAGCAGGCGAGAAAACUUUGCAAUGUGCGAAAGCACGACAAGGUUAAUCCGAGUGGUUUCUGCUAAAGGAACCUUUUGUUAGUCAUAGAACCACUAAUGAAUAAGGGGUGGGCAAGUUCUGGUGUCAGCCGCCGCGGUAAAACCAGCACCUCAAGUGGUCAGGAUGAUUAUUGGGCCUAAAGCAUCCGUAGCCUGCUUUGCCAGUUUUCGGUUAAAUCCAUACGCUCAACGUAUGGGCUGCCGGGAAUACUACAAAGCUAGGGAGUGGGAGAGGUAGACGGUACUCGGUAGGAAGGGGUAAAAUCCUUUGAUCUAUUGAUGACCACCUGUGGCGAAGGCGGUCUACCAGAACACGUCCGACGGUGAGGGAUGAAAGCUGGGGGAGCAAACCGGAUUAGAUACCCGGGUAGUCCCAGCUGUAAACUAUGCAAACUAGGUGAUGCAUUGGCUUGAUGCCAAUGCAGUGCCUCAGGGAAGCCGUUAAGUUUGCCGCCUGGGAAGUACGUACGCAAGUAUGAAACUUAAAGGAAUUGGCGGGGGAGCACCACAAGGGGUGAAGCCUGCGGUUCAAUUGGAGUCAACGCCGGG
RNAcentral lists this ribosomal RNA (914 nucleotides) under uncultured archaeon. Its description in RNAcentral is "bacterial SSU rRNA". It matches the Rfam family "Archaeal small subunit ribosomal RNA", at positions 1 to 922 of the family's 1478-position model. The record is from RNAcentral.